RNAcentral lists this long non-coding RNA (1219 nucleotides) under Pogona vitticeps (central bearded dragon). RNAcentral's name for it is "lncRNA (ENSPVIG00000002075.1)". The record is from RNAcentral. Lineage: Eukaryota; Metazoa; Chordata; Lepidosauria; Squamata; Agamidae.
UUAGUCCAAGCUAUCAGAAGGACCAUCUCACCCUGUAUGAGCUGUUCCAGCCUUCAGAGUCCUUUUCUCAGUGCCAACACCCUCACAGGUUGUUUUGGAAAGGACACAGGAGAGGCCUUUCUCUGUCACUGCUCCUAAGCUGUAGAAUGCCCUCUUCUGGGUGUCAGUUUGGUCUUUUCUCUUUUGUCUGUUUGCUGGCAGCUAAAGCUUGUCUUUCUUAGGCGGGCUUUCAAUUGAUUUGGGCAAGUAUCAUUCUAGGAUGCUGCAUGCACAUUUUUACUGAACUGAAUCGCAUAUGUUUAAUUUUUUUUAUGGUACUUGUUAAUAUUUUUACUUGUUUAGUUGCUUUUAACAUUAUAUUUCCCUGUAUUUUAAAUUGUGUUUACUAUAUUUGUUUUAAUUGAUUAUGAGCUGGUUUGGGUCCCUCUAUGGGAACUGCAUGCACAUAAUGCAUACAUGCAUACGUGCAUACCUACCUACCUACCUACCUACCUACUCUAGGUCUGUAAGUGUUAUGAAACAAAGCAACAUUGCUACCUGGCUGUUUUUCCUUACUGGCUUACUUCUUAUGCCAGGGAAACUGGAAAGCCUUUCAUGUACAGGUUCUAAAUAUUGUACGCAGGUUCAAAAAAUGUGCUUCACCCUGCAUUUCUGGCUGCUCAGUUUAGCUCAGGAACUGCAGACCAAUGAUUAACUUCAAGACAGAUUCCUAGCAAGUUGAUAUCCAUUGUACCAUAUCUUCUAAGCUACUUUCACAAGUAGCAUCACUACCCCAUUUUCCUGUUCUCAGCUGCCCUGCACUGCACCCUACAGUUCCCUGUUUAGACUGCCCAGGAUCAAUAUAACCCCUUGUGCAGGGCCCACCUUCCACAAAAAACAAAACAAAACAAAACAAAAAACAAAAAAAUCUUUCUGACAGCACCCACCAUUGUUAAAUGCCCUCAGUUCUAAAAUAUUUAAAUAUUUUGAAUCUUUUAAAUUCAGACUUCUAAUUGAUCUUCUAAUUGACCAGAAAGAUCUGGAUGUCCCGGACAACCCAGAUACUGUGGUUGCUGACCUUGAGCCAGACAUCCUGGAGAGUGAAGUCAAGUGGGCCUUAGAAAGCCUGGCUAACAACAAGGCCAGUGGAGGUGAUGGCAUUCCAGUUGAACUAUUUAAAAUCUUAAAAGAUGAUGCUGUUAAGGUGCUACACUCAAUAUGCCAGCGAGUUUGGAAAACU